UCCUUGAUAGCUUAAAAGGUCAAAGCGAAUGGCUGUUAACCAUUCGAUUGUAAGUUCAAAUCUUACUCAAGGAG
This 74-nucleotide transfer RNA is filed under the name Coeloseira compressa. Its description in RNAcentral is "tRNA-Asn". It matches the Rfam family "tRNA". From Rfam's summary of the family: Transfer RNA (tRNA) molecules are approximately 80 nucleotides in length. Their secondary structure includes four short double-helical elements and three loops (D, anti-codon, and T loops). Further hydrogen bonds mediate the characteristic L-shaped molecular structure. tRNAs have two regions of fundamental functional importance: the anti-codon, which is responsible for specific mRNA codon recognition, and the 3' end, to which the tRNAs corresponding amino acid is attached (by aminoacyl-tRNA synthetases). tRNAs cope with the degeneracy of the genetic code in two manners: having more than one tRNA (with a specific anti-codon) for a particular amino acid; and 'wobble' base-pairing, i.e. permitting non-standard base-pairing at the 3rd anti-codon position. Lineage: Eukaryota; Rhodophyta; Florideophyceae; Rhodymeniales; Champiaceae. The record is from RNAcentral.